RNAcentral lists this ribosomal RNA (250 nucleotides) under uncultured prokaryote. Its description in RNAcentral is "partial 16S ribosomal RNA". It matches the Rfam family "Bacterial small subunit ribosomal RNA", at positions 524 to 773 of the family's 1533-position model. The record is from RNAcentral.
UACGGAAGGUCCGGGCGUUAUCCGGAUUUAUUGCGUUUAAAGGGAGCGUAGGCGGGGUGCUAAGCGUGUUGUGAAAUGCUGCGGCUCAACCGUAGCAGUGCAGCGCGAACUGGCUCCCUUGAGUGCGCGGAAGGAAGGCGGAAUUCGUGGUGUAGCGGUGAAAUGCUUAGAUAUCACGAGGAACUCCGAUUGCGAAGGCAGCUUUCCGCAGCGUUACUGACGCUGAAGCUCGAAGGUGCGGGUAUCGAAC